GACGAACGCUGGCGGCGUGCUUAACACAUGCAAGUCGAACGGAAAGGCCCUGCUUUUGUGGGGUGCUCGAGUGGCGAACGGGUGAGUAACACGUGAGUAACCUGCCCUUGACUUUGGGAUAACUUCAGGAAACUGGGGCUAAUACCGGAUAGGAGCUCCUGCUGCAUGGUGGGGGUUGGAAAGUUUCGGCGGUUGGGGAUGGACUCGCGGCUUAUCAGCUUGUUGGUGGGGUAGUGGCUUACCAAGGCUUUGACGGGUAGCCGGCCUGAGAGGGUGACCGGCCACAUUGGGACUGAGAUACGGCCCAGACUCCUACGGGAGGCAGCAGUGGGGAAUAUUGCACAAUGGGCGGAAGCCUGAUGCAGCAACGCCGCGUGCGGGAUGACGGCCUUCGGGUUGUAAACCGCUUUCGCCUGUGACGAAGCGUGAGUGACGGUAAUGGGUAAAGAAGCACCGGCUAACUACGUGCCAGCAGCCGCGGUGAUACGUAGGGUGCGAGCGUUGUCCGGAUUUAUUGGGCGUAAAGGGCUCGUAGGUGGUUGAUCGCGUCGGAAGUGUAAUCUUGGGGCUUAACCCUGAGCGUGCUUUCGAUACGGGUUGACUUGAGGAAGGUAGGGGAGAAUGGAAUUCCUGGUGGAGCGGUGGAAUGCGCAUAUAUCAAGAGGAACACCAGUGGCGAAGGCGGUUCUCUGGGCCUUUCCUGACUCUGAGGAGCGAAAGCGUGGGGAGCGAACAGGCUUAAAUACCCUGGUAGUCCCCGCUGUAAACGGUGGGUACUAGGUGUGGGGUCCAUUCCACGGGUUCCGUGCCGUAGCUAACGCUUUAAGUACCCCGCCUGGGGAGUACGGCCGCAAGGCUAAAACUCAAAGGAAUUGACGGGGCCCCGCACAAGCGGCGGAGCAUGCGGAUUAAUUCGAUGCAACGCGUAGAACCUUACCUGGGUUUGACAUGGAUCGGGAGUGCUCAGAGAUGGGUGUGCCUCUUUUGGGGUCGGUUCACAGGUGGUGCAUGGCUGUCGUCAGCUCGUGUCGUGAGAUGUUGGGUUAAGUCCCGCAACGAGCGCAACCCUUGUUCACUGUUGCCAGCACGUUAUGGUGGGGACUCAGUGGAGACCGCCGGGGUCAACUCGGAGGAAGGUGGGGAUGACGUCAAGUCAUCAUGCCCCUUAUGUCCAGGGCUUCACGCAUGCUACAAUGGCUGGUACAGAGAGUGGCGAGCCUGUGAGGGUGAGCGAAUCUCGGAAAGCCGGUCUCAGUUCGGAUUGGGGUCUGCAACUCGACCUCAUGAAGUCGGAGUCGCUAGUAAUCGCAGAUCAGCAACGCUGCGGUGAAUACGUUCCCGGGGCU
This 1346-nucleotide ribosomal RNA is filed under the name uncultured bacterium. RNAcentral describes it as "partial 16S ribosomal RNA". It matches the Rfam family "Bacterial small subunit ribosomal RNA", at positions 28 to 1381 of the family's 1533-position model. The record is from RNAcentral.